GAUGAAGAACGUAGCGAAAUGCGAUAAGUAAUGUGAAUUGCAGAAUUCAGUGAAUCAUCGAGUCUUUGAACGCACAUUGCGCCCCCUGGUAUUCCUGGGGGCAUGCCUGUCCGAGCGUCAUUGCUGCCCUCAAGCACGGCUUGUGUGUUGGGCCCCCGUCCCCGGUUUCCCCCGGGGACGGGCCCGAAAGGCAGCGGCGGCACCGCGUCCGGUCCUCGAGCGUAUGGGGCUUUGUCACCCGCUCUGUAGGCCCGGCCGGCGCCAGCCGACACCCAACUUUAUUUCUAAGGUUGACCUCGGAUCAGGUAGGGAUACCCGCUGAACUUAAGCAUAUCAAUAAGCGGAGGA
Molecule: unclassified non-coding RNA, 348 nt
Filed under: soil metagenome
Description: partial contains 5.8S ribosomal RNA, internal transcribed spacer 2, and large subunit ribosomal RNA
Rfam family: 5.8S ribosomal RNA (bases 1-120)
Source: RNAcentral